CCUACGGGCGGCAGCAGUGAGGAAUAUUGGUCACUGGUCGGGAGACUGAACCAGCCAAGCCGCGUGAGGGAUGAAGGUACAGAGUAUCGUAAACCUCUUUUGUCAGGGAACAAAGGCGGGGACGUGUCCCCGGAUGAGUGUACCUUACGAAAAAGCAUCGGCUAACUCCGUGCCAGCAGCCGCGGUAAUACGGAGGAUGCGAGCUUUAUCCGGAUUGAUUGGGUUUCAAGGGUGCGCAGGCGGUCUGUUAAGUCAGCGGUCAAAGCCCGGGGCUCAACCCCGGCCCGCCGUUGAAACUGGCAGGCUCGAGUUGGAGAGAAGUAGGCGGAAUGCGCGGUGUAGCGGUGAAAUGCAUAGAUAUCGCGCAGAACUCCGAUUGCGAAGGCAGCAUGCCGGCUCCACACUGACGCUGAGGCACGAAAGCGUGGGUAUCGAACAGGAUUAGAUACCCGAGUAGUC
Molecule: ribosomal RNA, 459 nt
Filed under: uncultured bacterium
Lineage: Bacteria
Description: partial 16S ribosomal RNA
Rfam family: Bacterial small subunit ribosomal RNA
Source: RNAcentral